UGAAAAAGGAAUUUGUUUCUUUACAGAUUUUCUAGUUGUUGGUGAGAACCAACAGACAUUUGAUCUUGAAGGUGACAGUGGUAGCCUCAUUCUCUUGACUAGCCCUGAGGGGGAGAAGCCACGACCUAUAGGAAUAAUUUGGGGGGGAACUGCCAAUCGAGGUCGUUUAAAAUUGAGAGUUGGCCAACCUCCUGAGAAUUGGACUAGUGGGGUUGACUUGGGGCGUCUCCUUGAUCUUCUUGAACUUGAUCUCAUUACAUCCAACGAGAGUCUCCAAGUUGCAUUGCAAGAUCAAAUUAUUGCAUCAGCUGCGGGUAUUGGUUCGGCUGUUGGAGGGUCAUCACCAGCCGAGCGGAUUCAACUGAAAGCUGAAGUAAACUUUGAGCCCAUCAAUUUAAACGUCCGACAAGAUCCCAUCGAUGAUGAAUCUGACGAAGGGGUAGUUCCACCACUUGAGCAUAAACACUUCCACAUUCAGGAUGGAAAUAAAGCAACUCCUUGCGUCGAGCAUCAGUUUAUCCCAAGUGUCUCUGGGAUUCAACAUGGAAAUGGGGAACUAAAAAGACUCUCUGUGGUGGGAGGAUCAGAUGAUGAGAUGUAUGUUUCUUUGCAGUUAGGGGAGCAGCGCGAACCAAAGAGAAGGAAACAAUGAUGAGUCGUCUCCGUUUGCCAAAAUAAAAAAAAGAGUGAAUUGCUUCAUUUUAUCUGCUUCAUUUGUCUUUGGAAGGCUCAGUCAUGCAUUGAGCUGGGAGGAGUUGGAGUAUUAUUUAAGCCUCCCACCAGUAUGAGUAUUAUUAUUGUUAUUAUUAUUCUUUCACUUUUAAUUCAUGAAGCUACAUAUAGAGGUUAGAUAUUAAGUUGUACAAUAUGUAAGAAAUGUGUUUAGAAGAGAAUUGUAUCUAUUUGUUG
RNAcentral lists this unclassified non-coding RNA (909 nucleotides) under Hevea brasiliensis (rubber tree). The record is from RNAcentral. Lineage: Eukaryota; Viridiplantae; Streptophyta; Magnoliopsida; Malpighiales; Euphorbiaceae.